UCCUACGGGAGGCAGCAGUAGGGAAUUUUCGGCAAUGGGCGAAAGCCUGACCGAGCAACGCCGCGUGAAGGAAGAAGUCAUUCGUGAUGUAAACUUCUGUUAUGAAGGAAGAACGGCAGAUGGAGGGAAUGCCAUGUGCGUGACGGUACUUCAUGAGGAAGCCACGGCUAACUACGUGCCAGCAGCCGCGGUAAUACGUAGGUGGCGAGCGUUAUCCGGAAUCAUUGGGCGUAAAGAGGGAGCAGGCGGCAGUGCAGGUCUGCGGUGAAAGACCGGAGCUAAACUUCGGUAAGCCGUGGAAACCGCACAGCUAGAGAGCAUCAGAGGAUCGCGGAAUUCCAUGUGUAGCGGUGAAAUGCGUAGAUAUAUGGAGGAACACCAGUGGCGAAGGCGGCGGUCUGGGGUGCAGCUGACGCUCAGUCCCGAAAGCGUGGGGAGCAAAUAGGAUUAGAUACCCUAGUAGUCC
Molecule: ribosomal RNA, 466 nt
Filed under: Massiliimicrobium timonense
Lineage: Bacteria; Bacillati; Bacillota; Erysipelotrichia; Erysipelotrichales; Erysipelotrichaceae
Description: bacterial SSU rRNA
Rfam family: Bacterial small subunit ribosomal RNA
Source: RNAcentral